CUAACUACGUGCCAGCAGCCGCGGUAAUACGUAGGGCGCAAGCGUUGUCCGGAAUUAUUGGGCGUAAAGAGCUCGUAGGUGGCUGGUCGCGACUGCCGUGAAAGCCCGCAGCUUAACUGCGGGUCUGCGGUGGAUACGGGCCGGCUAGAGGUAGGCAGGGGCAAGUGGAAUUCCUGGUGUAGCGGUGAAAUGCGCAGAUAUCAGGAGGAACACCGGUGGCGAAGGCGGCUUGCUGGGCCCUUACCUGACGCUGAGGAGCGAAAGCGUGGGGAGCGAACAGGAUUAGAUACCCUGGUAGUCCACGCUGUAAACGUUGGGCGCUAGGUGUGGGGGUCUUCCACGACUUCCGUGCCGGAGCUAACGCAUUAAGCGCCCCGCCUGGGGAGUACGGCCGCAAGGCUAAAACUCAAAGGAAUUGACGGGGGCCCGCACAAGCGGCGGAGCAUGUUGCUUAAUUCGACGCAACGCGAAGAACCUUACCAAGGUUUGACAUCACCCGGAAAGCUGCAGAGAUGUGGCCCUCUUCGGACUGGGUGACAGGUGGUGCAUGGCUGUCGUCAGCUCGUGUCGUGAGAUGUUGGGUUAAGUCCCGCAACGAGCGCAACCCUUGCUCCAUGUUGCCAGCAGCGGAUUCGUCCGGCUGGGGACUCAUGGGGGACUGCCGGGGCCAACUCGGAGGAAGGUGGGGAUGACGUCAAGUCAUCAUGCCCCUUAUGUCUUGGGCUGCAAACAUGCUACAAUGGCCGGUACAGAGGGUUGCGAUACCGUGAGGUGGAGCGAAUCCCUAAAAGCCGGUCUCAGUUCGGAUUGGGGUCUGCAACUCGACCCCAUGAAGUCGGAGUCGCUAGUAAUCGCAGAUCAGCAAUGCUGCGGUGAAUACGUUCCCGGGCCUUGUACACACCGCCCGUCACGUCACGAAAGUCGGCAACACCCGAAGCCCGUGGCCCAACCCGCAAGGGGGGGAGCGGUCGAAGGUGGGGCUGGA
This 985-nucleotide ribosomal RNA is filed under the name uncultured Actinomycetes bacterium. RNAcentral describes it as "bacterial SSU rRNA". It matches the Rfam family "Bacterial small subunit ribosomal RNA", at positions 497 to 1472 of the family's 1533-position model. The record is from RNAcentral. Lineage: Bacteria; Bacillati; Actinomycetota; Actinomycetes.